RNAcentral lists this long non-coding RNA (861 nucleotides) under Scleropages formosus (Asian bonytongue). Its description in RNAcentral is "lncRNA (ENSSFOG00015030622.1)". Lineage: Eukaryota; Metazoa; Chordata; Actinopteri; Osteoglossiformes; Osteoglossidae. The record is from RNAcentral.
ACCUCUGUAGACAUAGAGGACAGAGAAAAACUUGCAACCACAAACAAACACGAUCACUCAGGCACACACACGCACACACACACACACACACACACACACACACACACACACACACACACCCUGUAAAUUCAGUCAGUGACCACAGUUUGUCAUGAGACAUCCAAACUGUAAUUAGAACGAGAAGUAGACAGAAAGGUGUCGUUUGCAGGCCAAAGGAAACACAGUAAGGAACUGAGAACCAGAGAUAGAUGUCAACUGGCAUCAGUCAUAUGAUAAAACACUAAAAGACAGUGCAGUUGCCUGAGUGACACCCUAGUAAGUGAAGAGGAGUGCUGAAGGAAGAGUGUGUGAAGAGUUGCACACAAUAUAAAAAACACAAUACAAACACAAAGCACAGACCAGUACAGAGACUUAGAUACAAAAUAUGGAAGUGACCUAGACUUCAGCUAAACAGUUGAUAGCAUUUCCACUGUAUACACAUCCACAUAAAACAGAAAAGAGACAGCAAGAGAUAGCGACAAGUUGCUGCGCUGAGAAACCCGAAUUCAUCACAGUGCUUUGGAUACUGCUGACCUCUGGCUACAAGAAAUGGACCUGCUUUUUCUGUUAAUUCUCGGAAUUCGUAUGGCUGUGUCAUCAGUGACGACACAUACAGGAUCUACAGCUGUCUCCACAACCUUCUCCGCACCCAGUCCGGAAAUUCACAUGGAAUUUACGCUCAAUUUGACAUUCAAGAAAGACCUUAGGAAUUCAUCUUCUGAGAAGUUCCUGUUCCUGGCAAAAAAUAUAACAAAAGCGUUAGACUCAUUGUAUGGAAGGAAAUAUCCGUUCAUUGGCACUAUGGUGACAGGCUUCAGGUAG